RNAcentral lists this long non-coding RNA (425 nucleotides) under Nicotiana benthamiana. Its description in RNAcentral is "long non-coding RNA (NBEN_LNC004268)". Lineage: Eukaryota; Viridiplantae; Streptophyta; Magnoliopsida; Solanales; Solanaceae. The record is from RNAcentral.
GUAGAUUGAUUAAUCUUGAAAUAUAAGAUGACUGUGGAUGUUAGUAUUCCAUGUGUUUAACAUCGGCCCAAAGGGAGGUUGUUAUUUGGCAGGAAUUCGAACAUGCUUGUGGUGAUAAAUAUGUGAGAAUUAUUUGGUUUUCCAUGUGAAUAUUAAAUCGUCCCAAAGGAAGGUUUGAUAUUUGACAGGAGUUUAUUGUCUAUGUUUGAUCACUACACCAAGACUACCACUUACAAGUUGUUUUUCUGUCCAAAGACUAAAAUCAUUGUUGUGCUAGGUAUCUUGUAAUGGGAUUUGCCUAUUUUGAAUCUGUAUACUAAAGUUAAAAUUCAAACAUUAUGAUAGUUCUCGUAGGUAUCUUGUAAUGGGAUUUGCCUAUUUUGAAUCUAUAAACUAAAGUUAAAGUUCAAGUAAUUGUAAGCAUG